RNAcentral lists this ribosomal RNA (309 nucleotides) under uncultured eukaryote. Its description in RNAcentral is "partial 18S ribosomal RNA". It matches the Rfam family "Eukaryotic small subunit ribosomal RNA", at positions 1470 to 1796 of the family's 1831-position model. The record is from RNAcentral.
CCCUUAGAUGUUCUGGGCGGCCCGCGCACUACAAUGGCGUGUGCAGCGAGUGCCGAAGUAGAGUUUUCCGAGGUAUUCUUGCAAUGCUCGUUUUGAUGGGGAUAGACCCUUGCAACUGUUGGUUUUGAACGAGGAAUUCCUUGUAAGCAUGGUUUAUCAUCCGACGCUGAAUGCGUCCCUGCCCUUUGUACACACCGCCCGUCGCUCCUACCGAUGAGUCGUCCGGUGAAGUUCGUAGACCUCGUGAUCGCGGAUCACUGGGGGAAGCAAAAUGAACCUCGCGGUUUAGAGGAAGGAGAAGUCGUAGCA